RNAcentral lists this ribosomal RNA (253 nucleotides) under uncultured bacterium. Its description in RNAcentral is "partial 16S ribosomal RNA". It matches the Rfam family "Bacterial small subunit ribosomal RNA", at positions 524 to 776 of the family's 1533-position model. The record is from RNAcentral.
UACGAAGGGGGCUAGCGUUGCUCGGAAUCACUGGGCGUAAAGGGUGCGUAGGCGGGUCUUUAAGUCAGGGGUGAAAUCCUGGAGCUCAACUCCAGAACUGCCUUUGAUACUGAAGAUCUUGAGUUCGGGAGAGGUGAGUGGAACUGCGAGUGUAGAGGUGAAAUUCGUAGAUAUUCGCAAGAACACCAGUGGCGAAGGCGGCUAACUGGUCCAGAUCUGACGCUGAGGUGCGAAAGCGUGGGGAGCAAACAGG